GACGAACGCUGGCGGCGUGCUUAACACAUGCCAGUCGAACGGAAAGGCCCUGCUUUUGUGGGGUGCUCGAGUGGCGAACGGGUGAGUAACACGUGAGUAACCUGCCCUUGACUUUGGGAUAACUUCAGGAAACUGGGGCUAAUACCGGAUAGGAGCUCCUGCUGCAUGGUGGGGGUUGGAAAGUUUCGGCGGUUGGGGAUGGACUCGCGGCUUAUCAGCUUGUUGGUGGGGUAGUGGCUUACCAAGGCUUUGACGGGUAGCCGGCCUGAGAGGGUGACCGGCCAGAUUGGGACUGCGAUACGGCCCAGACUCCUCCGGGAGGCAGGAGUGGGGAAUAUUGCACAAUGGGCGGGAGCCUGAUGCAGCAACGCCGCGUGCGGGAUGACGGCCUUCGGGUUGUAAACCGCUUUCGCCUGUGACGAAGCGUGAGUGACGGUAAUGGGUAAAGAAGCACCGGCUAACUACGUG
This 468-nucleotide ribosomal RNA is filed under the name uncultured bacterium. RNAcentral's name for it is "partial 16S ribosomal RNA". It matches the Rfam family "Bacterial small subunit ribosomal RNA", at positions 28 to 507 of the family's 1533-position model. The record is from RNAcentral.